RNAcentral lists this ribosomal RNA (292 nucleotides) under uncultured bacterium. Its description in RNAcentral is "partial 16S ribosomal RNA". It matches the Rfam family "Bacterial small subunit ribosomal RNA", at positions 505 to 796 of the family's 1533-position model. The record is from RNAcentral.
GUGCCAGCCGCCGCGGUAAUACGUAGGGUGCAAGCGUUGUCCGGAAUUAUUGGGCGUAAAGAGCUCGUAGGCGGCUUGUCACGUCGGAUGUGAAAAUCCAGGGCUCAACCCUGGACCUGCAUUCGAUACGGGCAGGCUAGAAUUCGGUAGGGGAGACUGGAAUUCCUGGUGUAGCGGUGAAAUGCGCAGAUAUCAGGAGGAACACCGGUGGCGAAGGCGGGUCUCUGGGCCGAUAUUGACGCUGAGGAGCGAAAGCGUGGGGAGCGAACAGGAUUAGAUACCCUCGUAGUCC